ACGUAGGUGGCAAGCGUUGUCCGGAUUUAUUGGGCGUAAAGCGAACGCAGGCGGAAGAAUAAGUCAAAUGUGAAAGCCCUCGGCUUAACCGGGGAAUAGCAUCGGAAACUGUUUUACUUGAGUGCAGAAGAGGAGAGUGGAACUCCAUGUGUAGCGGUGAAAUGCGUAGAUAUAUGGAAGAACACCAGUGGCGAAGGCGGCUCUCUGGUCUGUAACUGACGCUGAGGUUCGAAAGCAUGGGUAGCGAACAGG
This 252-nucleotide ribosomal RNA is filed under the name uncultured bacterium. Its description in RNAcentral is "partial 16S ribosomal RNA". It matches the Rfam family "Bacterial small subunit ribosomal RNA", at positions 525 to 776 of the family's 1533-position model. The record is from RNAcentral.